AUGCUAAUACCGCAUAACAACUUGGACCGCAUGGUCCGAGUUUGAAAGAUGGCUUCGGCUAUCACUUUUGGAUGGUCCCGCGGCGUAUUAGCUAGAUGGUGAGGUAACGGCUCACCAUGGCAAUGAUACGUAGCCGACCUGAGAGGGUAAUCGGCCACAUUGGGACUGAGACACGGCCCAAACUCCUACGGGAGGCAGCAGUAGGGAAUCUUCCACAAUGGACGAAAGUCUGAUGGAGCAACGCCGCGUGAGUGAAGAAGGGUUUCGGCUCGUAAAACUCUGUUGUUAAAGAAGAACAUAUCUGAGAGUAACUGUUCAGGUAUUGACGGUAUUUAACCAGAAAGCCACGGCUAACUACGUGCCAGCAGCCGCGGUAAUACGUAGGUGGCAAGCGUUGUCCGGAUUUAUUGGGCGUAAAGCGAGCGCAGGCGGUUUUUUAAGUCUGAUGUGAAAGCCUUCGGCUCAACCGAAGAAGUGCAUCGGAAACUGGGAAACUUGAGUGCAGAAGAGGACAGUGGAACUCCAUGUGUAGCGGUGAAAUGCGUAGAUAUAUGGAAGAACACCAGUGGCGAAGGCGGCUGUCUGGUCUGUAACUGACGCUGAGGCUCGAAAGUAUGGGUAGCAAACAGGAUUAGAUACCCUGGUAGUCCAUACCGUAAACGAUGAAUGCUAAGUGUUGGAGGGUUUCCGCCCUUCAGUGCUGCAGC
This 707-nucleotide ribosomal RNA is filed under the name Lactiplantibacillus plantarum. RNAcentral's name for it is "bacterial SSU rRNA". It matches the Rfam family "Bacterial small subunit ribosomal RNA", at positions 160 to 852 of the family's 1533-position model. The record is from RNAcentral. Lineage: Bacteria; Bacillati; Bacillota; Bacilli; Lactobacillales; Lactobacillaceae.